GUCGAGCGAAUGGAUUAAGAGCUUGCUCUUAUGAAGUUAGCGGCGGACGGGUGAGUAACACGUGGGUAACCUGCCCAUAAGACUGGGAUAACUCCGGGAAACCGGGGCUAAUACCGGAUAACAUUUUGAACUGCAUGGUUCGAAAUUGAAAGGCGGCUUCGGCUGUCACUUAUGGAUGGACCCGCGUCGCAUUAGCUAGUUGGUGAGGUAACGGCUCACCAAGGCAACGAUGCGUAGCCGACCUGAGAGGGUGAUCGGCCACACUGGGACUGAGACACGGCCCAGACUCCUACGGGAGGCAGCAGUAGGGAAUCUUCCGCAAUGGACGAAAGUCUGACGGAGCAACGCCGCGUGAGUGAUGAAGGCUUUCGGGUCGUAAAACUCUGUUGUUAGGGAAGAACAAGUGCUAGUUGAAUAAGCUGGCACCUUGACGGUACCUAACCAGAAAGCCACGGCUAACUACGUGCCAGCAGCCGCGGUAAUACGUAGGUGGCAAGCGUUAUCCGGAAUUAUUGGGCGUAAAGCGCGCGCAGGUGGUUUCUUAAGUCUGAUGUGAAAGCCCACGGCUCAACCGUGGAGGGUCAUUGGAAACUGGGAGACUUGAGUGCAGAAGAGGAAAGUGGAAUUCCAUGUGUAGCGGUGAAAUGCGUAGAGAUAUGGAGGAACACCAGUGGCGAAGGCGACUUUCUGGUCUGUAACUGACACUGAGGCGCGAAAGCGUGGGGAGCAAACAGGAUUAGAUA
RNAcentral lists this ribosomal RNA (743 nucleotides) under Bacillus sp. Y630_2. RNAcentral describes it as "bacterial SSU rRNA". It matches the Rfam family "Bacterial small subunit ribosomal RNA", at positions 61 to 784 of the family's 1533-position model. The record is from RNAcentral. Lineage: Bacteria; Bacillati; Bacillota; Bacilli; Caryophanales; Bacillaceae.